This 440-nucleotide ribosomal RNA is filed under the name uncultured bacterium. RNAcentral's name for it is "partial 16S ribosomal RNA". It matches the Rfam family "Bacterial small subunit ribosomal RNA", at positions 338 to 795 of the family's 1533-position model. The record is from RNAcentral.
CCUACGGGUGGCAGCAGUAGGGAAUAUUGCUCAAUGGGGGAAACCCUGAAGCAGCAACGCCGCGUGAGGGAUGACUGUUUUCGGAUUGUAAACUCCUUUUGUUAGAGAAGAUAAUCCCGGUAUCUAACGAAUAAGCACCGGCUAACUCCGUGCAAGCAGCCGCGGUAAUACGGAGGGUGCACGCGUUACUCCGAAUCACUGGGCGUAAAGGGCGCGUAGGCGGGAUAGCAAGUCAGAUGGGAAAACCUAUGGCUUAACCAUAGAACUGCAUUUGAAACUGUUAUUCUAGAGUAUGGGAGAGGUAGGUGGAAUGCUUGGUGUAGGGGUGAAAUGCGUAGAGAUCAAGAGGAAUACUCAUUGCGAAGGCGACCUGCUGGAACAUAACUGACGCUGAUGCGCGAAAGCGUGAGGAGCAAACAGGAUUAGAUACCCGGGUAGUC